This is a microRNA precursor of Oryza sativa Indica Group (long-grained rice), 198 nucleotides long. It matches the Rfam family "MIR812 microRNA precursor family". The record is from Rfam. NCBI's taxonomy places the organism in Eukaryota, Viridiplantae, Streptophyta, Magnoliopsida, Poales, Poaceae.
AAUAAGUGCAGCCGUGGAUAUCCGUGUCCAACGUUUGACCAUCCGUCUUAUUUGAAAAAUUAAUGAAAAAAUUAGUCACACAUAAAGUACUAUUCAUGUUUUAUCAUCUAAUAGCAAUAAAAAUACUAAUCAUAAAAAAAUUUUAAAUAAGACGAACGGUCAAACGUUGAACGUAAAUAGUGCAAAACUGCACUUAUU